Molecule: ribosomal RNA, 433 nt
Filed under: uncultured bacterium
Lineage: Bacteria
Description: partial 16S ribosomal RNA
Rfam family: Bacterial small subunit ribosomal RNA
Source: RNAcentral
AACGAACGCUGGCGGCAUGCCUAACACAUGCAAGUCGAACGAGACCUUCGAGUCUAGUGGCGCACGGGUGCGUAACGCGUGGGAACCUGCCCUUAGGUUCGGAAUAACUCCCCGAAAGGGGUGCUAAUACCGGCUAAUGUCUUCGGACCACCGAUUUAUCGCCUUUGGAUGGGCCCGCGUUGGAUUAGCUAGUUGGUAGGGUAAAAGCCUACCAAGGCGACGUGACAUAGCUGGUCUGAGAGGAUGCUCAGCCACACUGGGACUGGGACACGGCCCAGAAUCCUGCGGGAGGCAGCAGUGGGUAAUAUUGGAAAGUGGGCGAAAUCCUGAUCCAGCAAUGCCGCGUGAGUGAUGAAGGCCUUAGGGUUGUAAAGCUCUUUUACCCGGGAUGAUAAUGACAUUACCGGGAGAAUAAGCUCCGGCUAACUCCGUG